GGCCUUUUGAUUAUAAUUUAAGGUCGGGCCUGCCCAAUGAAAAAAUUUAAUGGCCGCGGUAUAUUAACUGUGCAAAGGUAGCAUAAUCAUUAGUUUUUUAAUUGAAAGCUGGAAUGAAGGGUUUAAUGAAAAAAGUUCUGUUUCUGUUUAAAUUUAUUAGAAUUUUAUUUUUAAGUUAAAAAGCUUAAAUAAUUAUUGAAGACGAGAAGACCCUAUAGAGUUUUAUAUUUUUGGAAAUUCUUUUAUUUGGUAAUUUUAAUUUAAUUUUUAAAAAUAUUUAGUUGGGGUGAUUGAAAAAUUGAAGUAACUUUUUUUUUAUUAAACAUUAAUGUAUGAGUAAAUGAUCCUUUAUUUAGAUUAAAAGAAAAAAUUACCUUAGGGAUAACAGCGUAAUUUUUUUUAGAGUUCUUAUCAAAAGAAAAGAUUGCGACCUCGAUGUUGGAUUAAAAUAAGUUUUUGGUGCAGAAGCUAAAAAACUAGGUCUGUUCGACCUUUAAAUUUUUACAUGAUCUGAGUUUAGACCGGUUUAAG
This 531-nucleotide ribosomal RNA is filed under the name Echiumacalles anagaensis. RNAcentral describes it as "partial 16S ribosomal RNA". It matches the Rfam family "Bacterial large subunit ribosomal RNA", at positions 1819 to 2625 of the family's 2925-position model. The record is from RNAcentral. Lineage: Eukaryota; Metazoa; Arthropoda; Insecta; Coleoptera; Curculionidae.